CAAUCAUUUCCCUGUGGAUAUGCCCUUUGCAUCUAAGUUAAUUGCAACAUCUCUUCUCUGCCUAUGCACGUGUGAUACUUUGACUCUCUUUGAAUCAGUUGAAAGAAACAGCUUACUCAUUAUUAAUAAGGCAUCAUGGAGUGCAGUGCCCAGUGGACUCAUCAGACAAAGAAGGGUAAAGUCUGUUACCAGAAAAGUAAGUGCACCUCGCAGGUGGCUUCAGCCCACGGAUCUCUUAUCUGGCUCACAAACGUCAAUCCCAAAUGAUGAUAGAACUAUAAAUGAUUCCACAUUGUGGCAAGUGGGUCUCUGCCUGACAAUUUUGGCAAUCUCUCUAAAGUGAAUUAUA
This 349-nucleotide long non-coding RNA is filed under the name Callithrix jacchus (white-tufted-ear marmoset). RNAcentral's name for it is "lncRNA (ENSCJAG00000080654.1)". Lineage: Eukaryota; Metazoa; Chordata; Mammalia; Primates; Cebidae. The record is from RNAcentral.